This is a non-coding RNA of Pelobates cultripes (western spadefoot toad), 1196 nucleotides long. NCBI's taxonomy places the organism in Eukaryota, Metazoa, Chordata, Amphibia, Anura, Pelobatidae. The record is from the annotation of a GenBank genome assembly.
GCAACUCGAGUUCUCAUGAUGUUGUGGUAUUGUCUAUGUAUUUGGACCAGGGUUCCCAUGCGGAGGCAUAGUGGGCGUAUUUGUCAUUCAUAGAGGCUGUCCGUUCCUCCAUUAUUCGAAUAGACUCGACUUUCUGGAGCCAUUCCCUCACCGAUGGUGCCUUAGAGGCCUUCCAAUGUAUUGGAAUGAGGAGGUUGGCCGCCGUGAGCAGGUGGGUCGUUAGGACCCUCUGUGGUUUGGCGAUGGGGUCUGAAAACAAUAGGAAGAGCAUUGUCUCCGGCUUGAGAGGUAAGUUCCCCCCUGUUACAGUGUUAAUUAUCUCCCUCACUCUUUUCCAGUAGAGUUGUAUGGUUGGGCAGUGCCACCAAAUGUGAGCUGUUGUUCCUCCCAAUUGCCCGCAUCUCCAGCAUGUAUCUGGCAUGUGCGGGAAGAUACGUUGUAAUUUAGUGGGUGAGUAAUGCCACCUGGAGAUUUUCUUGUAUGUGCUUUCCUGGAUAGCAGUGCUGACGGAAGAUCUCUGUAUGCCCUGAAAGAUGAUACCCCAGCCCCCCUGGGUAAUGUUAGUGGAGAGUUCCCUAUUCCAUGUUUGUGUGUAAUGUGGCAUUUGUCCCUUGAGCUCCCCUUGAAUCAUCUUAUAAAAAAUCGAUAAGUGCUUGCUUUUGAGGGAUUGGGAGGUACAAUAUAAUUCAUACGUUGUGAACGUCCGGGAGCCAGCUAGAAGUGUUCGUGUGGAUCGUAUGUAGUGUGUCAGUUGCGCAUAUUUGAAGAUCUGCAGUGUCGUGGGUCGUUCUGAUCCCAUUAGGGAUUCGAGUGGUUUGACUGAGCCGCCCUCUAAGACCGUAUGGAGUCUCAGAUAGGGCGUUUCUUGGGGUAUUUUUAAGAAGUCAAAGGAGUGGUUCGGCAGCCCGGGUUGGAACUGUAUGUUUCCUGUUAGAGGGUAGAGGGGGGAUGGAUGAGGGGAUAUUGAGGUCCCCAGUCUCAUGAGCUUCCAGGUUCGGAUUGUGGGUGUAAUGGUGGGGUGACGGGAGUGGUGUGGGGAUAGGGAUGUAGAUCCUGUGUUUAGCCAUGGGAUCCCUUGGAGCGGGGUUGUGAAAAAGGUUUUCUCCAGUUGCACCCAUUGUAGUUGUGGGCGUGGGUUGGCCCAUUCAUAUAUCCUUGUGAGGAUGGUCGCUUUGUGAUAUAACUCUAUGUGUGGC